GUUAGCUCAGUUGGUAGAGCAUCUGACUUUUAAUCAGAGGGUCACAGGUUCAAGCCCUGUAC
This 62-nucleotide transfer RNA is filed under the name Enterococcus asini. It matches the Rfam family "tRNA", at positions 6 to 65 of the family's 71-position model. From Rfam's summary of the family: Transfer RNA (tRNA) molecules are approximately 80 nucleotides in length. Their secondary structure includes four short double-helical elements and three loops (D, anti-codon, and T loops). RNAcentral also lists the same sequence under 1 other name. The record is from RNAcentral. Lineage: Bacteria; Bacillati; Bacillota; Bacilli; Lactobacillales; Enterococcaceae.